GGUUCGAUUUCGGAGAGGGAGCAUGAGAAACGGCUACCACAUCUAAGGAAGGCAGCAGGCGCGUAAAUUACCCAAUCCUGACUCAGGGAGGUAGUGACGAGAAAUAGCAAACCGGGAACCUCAUGGUUUCACGGUAUUGCAAUGAGAACAAUUUAAAACCCUUAGCGAGAAUCAAGUGGAGGACAAGUCUGGUGCCAGCACCCGCGGUAAUUCCAGCUCCACUAGCGUAUAUUAAAGUUGUUGCAGUUAAAAAGCUCGUAGUUGAACCUCUGUCUGGGGCUAGUUUUGGCUUUGGUCAGGCUAGUUCUAGGCAUCCGCCUACAAGACUUAGAGGGCAUUCAGUUGUUCACUAGGAGGAGUAGGCAUUUUACUUUGAAAAAAUUAGAGUGUUUAAGGCAGGCAAUCGCCCGCAUAUAUUAGCAUGGAAUAAUAGAAUAGGACACUUUUCCAUUUCGUUGGUUAUUGGAAUCGUGUAAUGAUUAAUAGGGACAGUUGUGGGCAUUUGUAUCUAAUUGUCAGAGGUGAAAUUCUUGGAUUUAUUAAAGACAAACUAACGCGAAAGCAUUUGCCAAGGAUGUUUUCAUUAAUCAAGAACGAAAGUUAGGGGAUCAAAGACGAUCAGAUACCGUCCUAGUCUUAACUAUAAACUAUCCCGACUCGAUGUUUGACUGGCUUAUAUAACCAGUUGAGCGUUGUAUGAGAAAUCAAAGUCUUUAGGUUCUGGGGGGAGUAUGGUUGCAAAGCUGAAACUUAAAGGAAUUGACGGAAGAGCACAACCAGGAGUGGAUUCUGCGGCUUAAUUUGACUCAACACGGGGAAACUUACCAGGUUAAAACAAUAGUGGGAUUGACAGUUUGAGAGCGCUUUCUUGAUUGGUUGGGUGGUGGUGCAUGGCCGUUCUUAGUUGGUGGAGUGAUUUGUCUGCAUAAUUGCGUUAACGUACGAGACCUUAACCUGCUUACUAGACUGGCGAUCAUCAAUCGUUAGCUCUUCUUAGAGGGACUUUGGUUGUUUUAACUCCAAGGAAGUUUGAGGCAAUAACAGGUCUGUGAUGCCCUUAGAUAUCCUGGGCCGCACGCGUCAUACAAUGACUAGUUCAGAAAGUUUUCUCCUGACCCGAAAGGGGAUGGGUAAUCUUGAUAAUACUAGUCGUGUUAGGGAUCGAUCUUUGCAAUUAUAGAUCUUGAACGAGGAAUUCCUAGUAAGUGCGGUUCAUCAGACCGUACUGAUUACGUCCCUGCUCUUUGUACACACCGCCCGUCGCUUCUACCGAGUGGGUGGUCCGGUGAGAUAAUUGAACUUCGCAGGUAACUGAGAGGAAAGAUUAUCAAACCUAUCCACCUCGAGGAAGAAGAAGUCGUAACAAGGUU
RNAcentral lists this ribosomal RNA (1370 nucleotides) under metagenome. Its description in RNAcentral is "SSU rRNA". It matches the Rfam family "Eukaryotic small subunit ribosomal RNA", at positions 374 to 1801 of the family's 1831-position model. The record is from RNAcentral.